This 253-nucleotide ribosomal RNA is filed under the name uncultured bacterium. Its description in RNAcentral is "partial 16S ribosomal RNA". It matches the Rfam family "Bacterial small subunit ribosomal RNA", at positions 524 to 776 of the family's 1533-position model. The record is from RNAcentral.
UACAGAGGUCCCGAGCGUUGUUCGGAUUCAUUGGGCGUAAAGGGUGCGUAGGCGGUCGUGCAAGUCGGAUGUGAAAUCUCAGGGCUCAACCCUGAAACUGCAUUCGAUACUGCGCGGCUAGAGUGCUGGAGGGGAGACUGGAAUUUACGGUGUAGCAGUGAAAUGCGUAGAUAUCGUAAGGAAGACCAGUGGCGAAGGCGAGUCUCUGGACAGCAACUGACGCUGAGGCACGAAGGCCAGGGGAGCAAACGGG